RNAcentral lists this ribosomal RNA (253 nucleotides) under uncultured bacterium. RNAcentral describes it as "partial 16S ribosomal RNA". It matches the Rfam family "Bacterial small subunit ribosomal RNA", at positions 524 to 776 of the family's 1533-position model. The record is from RNAcentral.
UACAGAGGGUGCAAGCGUUAAUCGGAAUUACUGGGGGUAAAGAGCUCGUAGGUGGUUUGUCGCGUUGUUCGUGAAAACUCACAGCUUAACUGUGGGCGUGCGGGCGAUACGGGCAGACUGGAGUACUGCAGGGGAGACUGGAAUUCCUGGUGUAGCGGUGGAAUGCGCAGAUAUCAGGAGGAACACCGGUGGCGAAGGCGGGUCUCUGGGCAGUAACUGACGCUGAGGAGCGAAAGCGUGGGGAGCGAACAGG